Molecule: small RNA, 128 nt
Filed under: Marmota monax (woodchuck)
Lineage: Eukaryota; Metazoa; Chordata; Mammalia; Rodentia; Sciuridae
Source: RNAcentral
GCCAGGCAUGGUGGCACAUGUCUGUAAUCCCAGCUGCUCAGGAGGCUGAGGCAGGAGAAUCACAAGUUCAAAGGCUAGCCUCAGCAAUUUAGUGAGGCCCUAAGUAACUUAGCAAGACCCUGUCUCAA